UUUAAAGUGUAAUGUAAGUCGCUUUGGAUAAAAGCGUCUGCUAAUUGACCUGUA
Gasterosteus aculeatus (three-spined stickleback) is the source of this 54-nucleotide non-coding RNA. NCBI's taxonomy places the organism in Eukaryota, Metazoa, Chordata, Actinopteri, Perciformes, Gasterosteidae. The record is from Rfam.